CAAAUGACAUCCCCGAGACAAGAGCCAUCCAUCAGGAGAUCACUUUAUGUCGCUUCCCCUCCGCUGCGAUGCCUGUGCAACAGUGACCACUCCACACAGGUUUCUGCUCAUCUUUCUGAUCAAUAAUGGCUUUCUCAGCAGCCCACUUCGGCUCUGAUUCAUCUCUGAGCAGAUCAAUGCCUCGGUUACUCAUCUCUGAUGGAGUAGAGCUGCAGUCACCUCCGUAACUCAUUACUGAUGCGCCAGUGAUGAGUCAGCAGCAAACCCGGGCAGAGCACAGCCAGGUAAAUUACACAUGAAGCACCCAGACUAGCCGGACAGGUACCAUAGGUCUGAUAACCUGCAGCCAGAACAGGUAAGACUAGACUGAUCCCCCUUCAACAAACACCCUGCUAGCAGAUACUGCUGGCCACCCAUUUAGUUGCUGAGGCUUAAAAACAAUCCUAUGCAUUAAUCAACGAGCAAUCUUGUUUCCAUUAUGUAGAGAAGAUUAAUAGCCUAAUAGUUUAAUAUCAUCAGUAGUCUACAGUAUUAAAACAAACAUUUUACAUAGCAAGCAGAUGAAACAAUCCAUUCCUAUGAGCAGGGCAUGGGUAAUGUAGUCUCAAAAUGCAUACAAUUAAAUCCAUCAUAGAUGUAAUUUGAAGAGGAUGUCACACGUCAUGCUUCAUCAUAUCUUAAUAGUGUACACCAGUUGUGUUUUGGGUUGAACCCAAGGUGCCCUGGCUUGAUGCCAAACUUUCACUGUUAGAAAGCAGGCUAGGCUACUGAAUAAUGUAACGAGACAGGCUGCAUAAUUCAUCUACAUUUUCUAGUAUGCUAGAGCAUAUUUCACCAGACACUCUGCCUUGGUGCUGAGCCCAAGCCUUCACUCAAGGGACAACUCACAUGUCAGCCACUAUCGCGGCGUCUCCCUUGGCGGCUCUGUCAAUUAGCACGACUUCCAGAAUUGUGUUUGAAAUGGCACAAACGUAACUUCUGAAUCGUGCCUAAUAGAGAUGCACUAUCUUCCAAACAACCAAUUCAGAAAUGUAAUGAGCCAGAAAGGAAACAGCUAUGAAUCAUAAUAGCAUUUAUAGUAGAAUAGCUACAAUUAUCUCCAGCAGUCAAAGUACUCCCGCCCCCACAAGGCAGAACAGAUAUUCCACUAUUCCCUGUUUUAUUAUCUGAAAAACUGUCAAAACCGUUUAGAUGCAAUUACACAUGGUCUGCUGAAUGUGCAUGCACAAAUCAGAUUAAUAUGUUAUACCGGCAUAUUUUGUCUUCCUGUCUUUGGCAACAUGGUGUUAAAGUUGUUCAAGUCAUUGCCUAUAACAGCAAGGUCUCAGGUUUUAAUCCUCCAGCAGCCACAGGCCCUGUCAAAGUGUUCUUGAGCUACACACUAAACCACAAUCACCUCGCUGAUUUCAAAAACUUAGACUUAGUUAGAUUACUAAAACACAAAUUAUCUUGCCCCAUUUGUCUCUGUCCAGUCCACAAUCCCACUGUGUGAUCAGGAAAGUAUUACCAACAGAACGUCGUCUGCCUGGUUGACCCCUACGUCCCAUGGUUGUCCGGGUCUCCUAGGUGACCUGGAGGUCCUAUGUGCAGGUCCUGGUUGACCAGGCUGCUGGCGUUCCCAGUGGGUCCAUUUGCCACCGUAACGGAGUAGGAGGUAAGGCAAGAAAGCCUCUUACAGGCCAAGUGAGCAAGCAUGAUAAUCCCAUCUGUGUCUGCUCUGCAACUUCACCUACUGCUAAUCCAUACUCUGAUAAUCCUACAGGUGAGUCUGCUACACGCACAUGAACACACAUUUCGCUAGUGUAUGCAUAUGCACAUAUACACAUGCACACACACAUUGAUAGUGUAUUAUACACACACUCUCUCACACGCGCAGGUGAACAUACAACUUUUAAUGCCGGAAUACAUGCAAAGCCCCUACAUGCAGGUACUCCCCUGCCCAAACUCUACACCCAGCAGUCAUAUAUUGUACAUGCAUGCAGCAGUGUUCAUGUGCAUGUGCUUUCCAGGCAUGCCAUGUCCAUAGAUGCAUGUGUUGUGUGUUCUACAGCAUGCAUAUAUUUUCAUAUUGAACGAUUUGCCCCAGUGCAUAGCAAUCUGUCUUCGUCAGCACGGUCUGACAUGAGUGGUCACCCCACUACCUACAAGCACAUGCAGUGAAAGGGUUAAUUCCUGUUUAGCAUUCGUCACUCCAGGCCCCAAGGAGCUACAGAGUAUUCAGGGUCAGCAGCAGUAAUAUCAUGUCUUAACCUUUUCAGACAAGAUCCAGAGACACUUGGUAACUACAUAUUGUAGCUCUUGAGGGCCGGAGGUUGGCAGACAGCUGCUCCUAGCUGUUGCACAUGGCCACAUGCACCUUGGGACUCCAGAAACAAACGGGGCGUCAUCCAGUCUAAUUCGAGCAAACUCACUUUUGUCAAACCUGUCUGUGAGGCGGGCACGCAUGGUAGCGCCUGGGUCCUGCAGUUCAGAAGCCUCCUGCCUAAUGGUGGUCAACACUAACUGCUCUGUGGGCGACAGAGGCCGCGGCGGGAGAAAACAACACACACAAGACAACAAGUCAAUAUACACAUACCGCACACAACACAUCUAUGUGUCAGUAACUGCACUGUAAAUGUGUUUGUAUGUGCCUGUCAUGGGAAGCAUUCUGUAGUGAGAUGAGAUUCAUGCCUGCAUAAGAAAAUGUGGGUCUGAAGGGUUUACACAGAAAUGGACUUGGCUAAAACUUUUGUAGCUUGCCCAGGAGUGCCCCCUUGUGUUCAGCUCAUGUAAAUACCUCACUGCUGCAAUUUAUUAGGCCUCCCUUAUCUCCCAAAUGGCAUCUUCAGCAGCUUGGCAGCCACGGCAACCAGUCUUUAUCGUUUGAAAACAGACAUAUUGUUGACAGUUUGCUGAGCUGCAUGACUCACAUUAAGAAGACCCGCCAACACAACAUGUGUCCUUACAUUUGAAUACAAAUCCAUACGGUAAAAUGUGAACUGCCUGAGACAAUCUUCAAAAACCAUAAGACAUCUUGAUUACAGCUCGUUUAGCUUAUCAUAACACAAAAAUACUUUUUUUCUACAGUAUAAUGUGUUUUCUCAACCAAUGUCAGAAGUGCUUUAUGUGCCUGUGAGUAGUUAUGCAUAAAAGGUGGUAUUAGAAACAUGGUCAGAGUUUAUGUCACCCACUUCAUAAAUACAAACAAAUGAUAUGAUAUUAUUCUGUGUGUGAAUGUGUGUGUGUGUGAGUAAAUGUGACAGAUUGGAGGCUGCAGACGUCAUCACCAGGGAUGAAGCAGCUCGCUAAUUGGAGCAAAGAAUCAAGAGCUCAGGCUCCAAGAGAUUAGAGAACAGACACCAUGGAGAAUCCAGGAGGGUGCACAUGUACAUAAUGACUGACACUCUUAAACAACUGUUAGACUCAAUGAGACAAAAAUAAUCUCCACGAAUAUUAAAGAAAUGUCCCACAUUAUCUGGUCAGAUAUAAACAAGAAUUAAGUAGCGAAUCUCACAAUCAAACCUCUUCCACAUGAGGGUCAAAGUCACAUACUGGCCAAAUAAAACAGAAGUAUGUUUCAUUUUUGAGGCCACCUGAUACCCCAUUUAAACACAAAAUACAAAUAUGUAUGAAACUGGUCCUGAACCCUUAUUAACUCUAACCUUUCAUCGGGCAAAAAUGUGCUGCCCCAGUGACAAAACAUCCAAUAUUUCAACAACUAAUAUAUGUGGGAACCUCUGGCCUGAAGACAGUGUGGCCCAGUUGGCGCUCAUCUCUGCUCACAAUUUGCCCUGCUUUCUAUUUCUGGAAGCUGCAAGAGGCAUGCAGCUACACACACACACACACACACACACACACACACACACACACACACACACACACACAGAUAACAGCAAAGCAGCCGGACAAUAUGUGCCAGUCACUAUUAAAACCCACUGGUUGAGCCAAACACAUGCUCCUCUCUUCCAGGACAAUCCAAACUCAGUUUGCUAUGUGUGAAAUCAUAACAUCCCACGUUGACUUUAAACAUCUCCAUCCUCCCUCCAAUUCCUACUGUAUGGAGAGGAUGAACCAUUUUCUGCCAGAAAGAGUGACUAUAACCUAUACUAUUAAGUUUGUCAUGGAGGGUUUAUUUAAUAUAAACAGCCCUGGUCCAUACAUGGUCCGGAAGACACAUGUCAUGUGUGCAGCUGUUUAAACCAGCCCCUUUCCAACGCUUGAGUGCCAUAAAUACAGUGAUGUGAAAACACACAUGUGCAUGGCUUUAGAGAUUCAAUUCCGGACGCGCUCGGAAUAAAAAGCGCUCUUUAUGCGGUCACGUGGUGUUUAAGUCGGCGAGGUAAUAGGCUGUUCUUGGACUGAUCUAUAGAAGCUGAGUUUGGACAUUUGAAUCGCACAAUGAAUUUAAAUAUUUAGAUAUGAGCUAUCUUAUAAGCAUAUCAAGAAAUCGACAUGUUUUUGCGAAUCGACCCAUGCGAAAAAAAAUCCCCAUAUGAUGCGAUUGAGGAGGUCAAUAUACCACAAUGUCUGUUGCAACAAAAUUAUAUAAUACCAUAAUGAUGCCAUAGGAAAUACAGUACAUUCAGUAUAGUGACACGAUCACACAACGGACUCACAUUCUUCCUAUGAAGAGCAAAUAUGCUGUUAUCUUUUCGUUACAGCACAGCACGGAUCCAUAUACUUAUCAUGGUCAUUGCUAUAUAGAAAUACCAGCCUAUAUAGAGGGCAGACGGUGCUACCUGAAGCAGCUGCACCUGCAGUCUCCAACCGGUGCCAAAAAAAAAAAAAAAAAAAAACUGAGCGAGGAGGAAG
Molecule: long non-coding RNA, 4791 nt
Organism: Thunnus maccoyii (southern bluefin tuna)
Lineage: Eukaryota; Metazoa; Chordata; Actinopteri; Scombriformes; Scombridae
Exons: 2
Source: RefSeq, a predicted model, not a curated record